CAGCAGCCACGGUAAUACAGAGGGUGCGAGCGUUAAUCGGAUUUACUGGGCGUAAAGCGUGCGUAGGCGGCUUUUUAAGUCGGAUGUGAAAUCCCUGAGCUUAACUUAGGAAUUGCAUUCGAUACUGGGAAGCUAGAGUAUGGGAGAGGAUGGUAGAAUUCCAGGUGUAGCGGUGAAAUGCGUAGAGAUCUGGAGGAAUACCGAUGGCGAAGGCAGCCAUCUGGCCUAAUACUGACGCUGAGGUACGAAAGCAUGGGGAGCAAACAGGAUUAGAUACCCGCGUAGUCCAUGUCUCUUAUAA
RNAcentral lists this ribosomal RNA (301 nucleotides) under uncultured bacterium. RNAcentral describes it as "partial 16S ribosomal RNA". It matches the Rfam family "Bacterial small subunit ribosomal RNA", at positions 509 to 809 of the family's 1533-position model. The record is from RNAcentral.